CCUACGGGUGGCAGCAGUGGGGGAUAUUGCACAAUGGGGGAAACCCUGAUGCAGCGACGCCGCGUGUGGGAAAACGGUCCUCUGGAUUGUAAACCACUGUCCCCAGGGACUAAGAUCACGGUACCUGGGCAGGAAGCUCCUGCUAACUACGUGCCAGCCGCCGCGGUAAUACGUAGCGAGCGCGCGUUGUCCGAAAUUACGGGGUGUAACGGGAGCGUUGGCGGGGAUGAAAGUUGGGUGUAAAAACUAACGGCUAAACUGGGAGUCGCACUCAAAACUGCAGCUCUUGAGUGAAGUAGAGGCAGGCGGAAUGCAUGGUGUAGCGGUGAAAUGCGUAGAGAUUAGGAGGAACACCAGUGGCGAAGGCGGCCUGCUGGGCUUUUACUGACGCUGAGGCUCGAAAGUGUGGGGAGCAAACAGGAUUAGAUACCCUUGUAGUC
RNAcentral lists this ribosomal RNA (440 nucleotides) under uncultured bacterium. Its description in RNAcentral is "partial 16S ribosomal RNA". It matches the Rfam family "Bacterial small subunit ribosomal RNA", at positions 338 to 795 of the family's 1533-position model. The record is from RNAcentral.